This 439-nucleotide ribosomal RNA is filed under the name uncultured bacterium. RNAcentral's name for it is "partial 16S ribosomal RNA". It matches the Rfam family "Bacterial small subunit ribosomal RNA", at positions 338 to 794 of the family's 1533-position model. The record is from RNAcentral.
CCUACGGGAGGCAGCAGUGGGGAAUCUUCCGCAAUGGGCGAAAGCCUGACGGAGCAACGCCGCGUGGGUGAAGAAGGCCUUCGGGUCGUAAAGUCCUUUUCUGUGGGAAGAUCGUGACGGUACCACAGGAAUAAGCAUCGGCUAACUACGUGCCAGCAGCCGCGGUAAUACGUAGGAUGCAAGCGUUGUCCGGAUUUAUUGGGCGUAAAGAGUGCGUAGGCGGCUUCUUAAGUGGGGCGUGAAAUCCCCCGGCUUAACCGGGGAGGGUCGUCCUAGACUGGGGGGCUGGAGGGUAGAAGAAGAGAGCGGAAUUCCGGGUGUAGGGGUGAAAUGCGUAGAUAUCGGGAGGAACACCUGUGGCGAGGGCGGCUCUCUAGGCUAUUCCUGACGCUGAGGCACGAAAGCGUGGGGAGCGAACGGAAUUAGAUACCCCGGUAGU